This 332-nucleotide unclassified non-coding RNA is filed under the name soil metagenome. Its description in RNAcentral is "partial contains 5.8S ribosomal RNA, internal transcribed spacer 2, and large subunit ribosomal RNA". The stretch from base 1 to 120 matches the Rfam family "5.8S ribosomal RNA", at positions 35 to 154 of the family's 154-position model. The record is from RNAcentral.
GAUGAAGAACGUAGCGAAAUGCGAUAAGUAAUGUGAAUUGCAGAAUUCAGUGAAUCAUCGAAUCUUUGAACGCACAUUGCGCCCGCCAGUAUUCUGGCGGGCAUACCUGUUCGAGCGUCAUUUCAACCAUCAAGCCCCCGGCUUGUGUUGGGGACCUGCGGCUGCCGCAGGCCCUGAAAAGCAGUGGCGGGCUCGCUGUCACACCGAGCGUAGUAGCAUACAUCUCGCUCUGGGCGUGCUGCGGGUUCCGGCCGUUAAACCACCUUCAUAACCCAAGGUUGACCUCGGAUCAGGUAGGAAGACCCGCUGAACUUAAGCAUAUCAAUAAGCGA